Molecule: non-coding RNA, 26 nt
Filed under: Rattus norvegicus (Norway rat)
Lineage: Eukaryota; Metazoa; Chordata; Mammalia; Rodentia; Muridae
Source: RNAcentral
UUCCAGUUGUCUGUCUCUCCCAGUGC